UACGUAGGGUCCGAGCGUUGUCCGGAAUCACUGGGCGUAAAGCGCACGUAGGCGGACUCUUAAGUCGGUGGUGAAAUCCUGGAGCUCAACUCCAGAACUGCCUUCGAUACUGGGAGUCUCGAGUCCGGGAGAGGUGAGUGGAACUGCGAGUGUAGAGGUGAAAUUCGUAGAUAUUCGCAAGAACACCAGUGGCGAAGGCGGCUCACUGGCCCGGUACUGACGCUGAGGUGCGAAAGCGUGGGGAGCAAACAGG
RNAcentral lists this ribosomal RNA (253 nucleotides) under uncultured bacterium. RNAcentral describes it as "partial 16S ribosomal RNA". It matches the Rfam family "Bacterial small subunit ribosomal RNA", at positions 524 to 776 of the family's 1533-position model. The record is from RNAcentral.